RNAcentral lists this non-coding RNA (152 nucleotides) under Paenibacillus sp. Its description in RNAcentral is "FMN sequence". It matches the Rfam family "FMN riboswitch aptamer (RFN element)". From Rfam's summary of the family: The RFN element is a highly conserved domain that is found frequently in the 5'-untranslated regions of prokaryotic mRNAs that encode for flavin mononucleotide (FMN) biosynthesis and transport proteins. This element is a metabolite-dependent riboswitch that directly binds FMN in the absence of proteins. The record is from RNAcentral. Lineage: Bacteria; Bacillati; Bacillota; Bacilli; Caryophanales; Paenibacillaceae.
AUGAACCUUCGGGGUUGGGUGCAAUUCCCUACCGGCGGUGAGGAUACAUGUAUGCAUGUAUCUCCAGCCCGCGACUCCUGGCCAGUAAUGGCUGGGACUGACUUGGUGUAAUUCCAAGGCCGACGGUAUAGUCCGGAUGAGAGAAGGUGAAG